Molecule: non-coding RNA, 1628 nt
Organism: Benincasa hispida (wax gourd)
Lineage: Eukaryota; Viridiplantae; Streptophyta; Magnoliopsida; Cucurbitales; Cucurbitaceae
Source: RefSeq, a predicted model, not a curated record
GAUAAAAAGAAAAAGAGAAGGAAGUGGUUCUUCUUUGGCGGUGGAGGUCUUCUCUCUCAAGAAAAUCUAUGAAAAUUUGCAGCUAACACGCGAAGAAGAUGAGGAAGAUGAAGAUAUAAUAUUUCUGAAGGAAUUGAAGUAAGAUUUGUUGGUGAAAUUCAAGAAGGAAGUGAAGGAAGUCUGGAAUAGAGGCCAAUCUGAGCGUAUUCUGGGUUUUCUGUGAUAUCUGGUUGUACAGAACGACUUAGAAGCUCCAAUUGGUCAGGUGGAAGUCAGUGGGUAAGAAAAAUCGAGAAACUGGAGAGAGCUCUGGUUCUUGAAGCGGUUUGAGCUUUCUAGGAGGAGUUAGAAGCUGAAAUGUGUGAGGUGGAACAGAAGGGGGUUGCAGGAAUCGUGAAGAAUGGUACCUUCUGGUUCCAGGCGAUUUCUGGACAAUCCAACGGUUUUUAGGUCUUUCUAUCUUCAAUUUGGCUGAAAAUCUGGAAAAACGCUGGGGACUUGCUGCCAGCUUGUGUGGGUGCCUCACGGUCAAGACCGCCCCUCAGCACGCCUAUUGCUUGCUUCAGCACCUUCCUAAGCCCACAGCACGCCCAUCCUUGCCCACAUGUAUGUGUCAAUAGCCAUGGCACCUAAAUUUGAGUAAGUUAAGGCCUAUUUUGAAGUCGGUCAGACAAGGCUUUGCGAUAUGUAUAAACACCCGGGGAAACGAGCUCCGAAUAGUGAGUGACAAAAAUGUUUUCAAACUAUGCUUUAUUAAGUUAUUGAAAAAUCUGCAAUUACAUGUUUAUGAGCAAAGACUUCCCAGGCAUAUUGUUAUUUUCUUAUAAAUGAUUGGAUGAUGCCUGAAGUGAGUUUUAUGUUCAAUGUUAUUUAAAUAUGAUUGACGAGCUUGUACCUAUGAUUUGUAAGCAUCCUAUGUUUCACGUUUCUUGAAGUAUGUUUUACAAGCUAUUGAGUACUGAACAUGUUUUAGUUAAAUGAUAAGUACCCUAUGUACCGAUACCUAAGGACAUCGAGACGGUAUCGAAAUGAAUGGGACCCUAACACAUGAGGACUUCGGUGAUGUAUCAAGACAGCCCGAUGUAUGAGAGCUCUGCAUGCACGUAUCACAGUUUACGACGAUGAGAGUGUUGAGCUUGCUCCACCUCAACUAAGGAUUUAAGGGUACUAUGUUUUCAGAUGGUUACGAUGUUUAUGAACUAUGUUUUCAAAUGACAAAGUAUUUAUGAACCAUGAUUUCUAGUUUUAUGACUAUGGAAUGUGUUAUGCAAAAGGUUUCCCUAUGUUGAAACCAGCUUGAUUUUGAUUUAAUAAGAACGUUUAAAUAUCUCUAUCACUCAUUAGACAUCUGUCUAAUGUUUUCAAAUGUUCUCUUUCUUCCCAGGUAGCGAAAGGUUUCCAGGAGCUUGACCUAACCUUGCAAAGUCUCUGGUGUGGAUCCUCCCUUAGCUUAUUAUUAUUAAGUUUUGAGUUAGUUGGCAUGUAGUAGGCAUGGUGGAAAGUUGGGGUAGAGAGAACCUUUGUUGUGUAAACUUAGCAGAUGAUUGUAUAAAGUCUACUUCAGUAUAUAUGAAAACAUGUUGUGAAAGGAUUCUGUAUGCCAGUGUAGUGGAAGAUCAAGUUAAUUA